Long non-coding RNA from Passer domesticus (house sparrow), 1193 nucleotides. RefSeq lists it as uncharacterized. NCBI's taxonomy places the organism in Eukaryota, Metazoa, Chordata, Aves, Passeriformes, Passeridae. The transcript has 3 exons. The record is from RefSeq and is a predicted model, not a curated record.
CCCAUGCUCUGUCUCCAUCUGCAACUUGUAGUAGUACAUUGCUUUGGGAUUGUUUUUGCAAGCUGCCUGAGCCAGCAGGCAGAGCUGAUGGUCUUUCUCUCACUGGCAGAAGGGUCUCUUCUUCCUCGUAGCCAACUAAAUUCUUUCCCUCCAACUUUGAGUAAAGUACCAGUUUAAUCUCAAACACUGACUAAAACCCUAUUUCAAUCUUAAAUUUAAAAAUCACAUCAUGCUUUUUGAAAAAAACCCCAGGCCUUCAUUAUCAUGAAGUGGGGAGUUAAUCAAAGGAUGUUUUACAUUUUCCAGGAAAGGAACCUCUGAAGCAUUUCCACUUAACUUGCUGGAAUUUAAGGAACAAGCUAAUUAAUUUGUGGCUUGUGGAAGAACUCAAGGGCUUAUUGUAAAUUCUUAAAGACCCUUUAAAGUGAUUUAAAUGUUACAAAAAGUACUGAGACACCACCCUUGGAGACUGAAAAUACUUUAUUUUCUGCAGAGGGGCUUGAGUUGCCCUCUCAGCCUCAGUAAAGCAGCAUGACUUGGACCAGCUAGCCCGGGGUUGGAAGGCAGAUGUUACCCUACACUUGUUCAUGGUUGUACAGGCAUUUACAUGGACCCUUUCUCACACACACACAUUUGUCUUGAAGCUUGUCAGACUUCAUUGGAAGACAAACUUUGCACUAAACUGCUAUGCUGAAUUAGGUCCUUAUAUGUGGCUUCUCUGCAGAGAAGAGUAAAUGUCAGCAGUUACAGCUGUGAUUCUCUGCCACGUAAAUUGAAAUAAUACCAGAAUUGAGUGAGAACGCCUUCUGCAAGAGAUGAUAGAAAGCUACCAUAUCCCUCCUCAGUCAUUGAGCUCCAGAUAUUCUGGGCCCUGAUUUUGGAGGGAUCCAUCACAUUGGAUGGAUGUGAAAACAGCUGGCUCUUCUGACUGAGUGGAAGGAUGCCUCUUUGCUCUUCAGCAAGAGUAGGCAAAGGUUUAUAUAAUCUGUCAAACUCUGUUAACACACAAGCAAAAAGGUCUCUCCAUUGUCAAAUUUCAAGAAGAAAUGAGAGGAGCAACUUCCAUUAGUUCUGAGAAGUGGAGACAGCCAGGAGCUGAAGAUAAAAAUACCUAAUCACUUCUAACCCAAAGAUUCCUGAAACAUAUGGACACUUUGAAAAGAAAAUGUGAAGUCAGAAUUGGAGAGCUAAUA